This 497-nucleotide ribosomal RNA is filed under the name uncultured bacterium. RNAcentral describes it as "partial 16S ribosomal RNA". It matches the Rfam family "Bacterial small subunit ribosomal RNA", at positions 28 to 507 of the family's 1533-position model. The record is from RNAcentral.
GAUGAACGCUGGCGGCGUGCCUAAUACAUGCAAGUCGAGCGAACGGACGAGAAGCUUGCUUCUCUGAUGUUAGCGGCUGACGGGUGAUUAACACGUGGAUAACCUACCUAUAAGACUGGGAUAACUUCGGGAAACCGUAGCUAAUACCGUAUAAUAUUUUGAACCGCUUGGUUCAAAAGUUAAAGCCGGUCUUGCUUUCACUUUUAGAUGGUUCCGCGCUGCAUUAGCUAGUUGGUAAGGUAACGGCUUACCAAGGCAACGAUGCAUAGCCGACCUGAGAGGGUGAUCGGCCAGACUGGAACUGAGACACGGUCCAGACGCCUACGGGAGGCAGCAGUAGGGAAUCUGACGCAAUGGGCGAAAGCAUGACGGAGCAACGCCGAGUGAGUGAUGAAGGUCUUCGGAUCGUAAAACUCUGUUAUUAGGGAAGAACAGAUGUGUAAGUAAAUGUGCACAUCUUGACGGUAACUAAUCAGAAAGCAACGGCUAACUACGUG